RNAcentral lists this transfer RNA (77 nucleotides) under Bacillota bacterium. Its description in RNAcentral is "tRNA-Arg". It matches the Rfam family "tRNA". Rfam says of the family: Transfer RNA (tRNA) molecules are approximately 80 nucleotides in length. Their secondary structure includes four short double-helical elements and three loops (D, anti-codon, and T loops). Lineage: Bacteria; Bacillati; Bacillota. RNAcentral also lists the same sequence under 2 other names. The record is from RNAcentral.
GUUGCAGUAGCUCAGCUGGAUAGAGCAACGGCCUUCUAAGCCGUCGGUCGGGGGUUCGAAUCCCUCCUGCAACGCCA